RNAcentral lists this ribosomal RNA (714 nucleotides) under Isoptericola sp. DBQ_28S. RNAcentral describes it as "bacterial SSU rRNA". It matches the Rfam family "Bacterial small subunit ribosomal RNA", at positions 727 to 1440 of the family's 1533-position model. The record is from RNAcentral. Lineage: Bacteria; Bacillati; Actinomycetota; Actinomycetes; Micrococcales; Promicromonosporaceae.
CUCUGGGCCGCAACUGACGCUGAGGAGCGAAAGCAUGGGGAGCGAACAGGAUUAGAUACCCUGGUAGUCCAUGCCGUAAACGUUGGGCACUAGGUGUGGGACUCAUUCCACGAGUUCCGUGCCGCAGCUAACGCAUUAAGUGCCCCGCCUGGGGAGUACGGCCGCAAGGCUAAAACUCAAAGGAAUUGACGGGGGCCCGCACAAGCGGCGGAGCAUGCGGAUUAAUUCGAUGCAACGCGAAGAACCUUACCAAGGCUUGACAUGCACCGGACGCUGCCAGAGAUGGUGGUUCCGCAAGGUCGGUGCACAGGUGGUGCAUGGUUGUCGUCAGCUCGUGUCGUGAGAUGUUGGGUUAAGUCCCGCAACGAGCGCAACCCUUGUCCUAUGUUGCCAGCGGGUUAUGCCGGGGACUCAUGGGAGACUGCCGGGGUCAACUCGGAGGAAGGCGGGGAUGACGUCAAAUCAUCAUGCCCCUUAUGUCUUGGGCUUCACGCAUGCUACAAUGGCCGGUACAGAGGGCUGCGAUACCGUAAGGUGGAGCGAAUCCCAAAAAGCCGGUCUCAGUUCGGAUUGGGGUCUGCAACUCGACCCCAUGAAGUCGGAGUCGCUAGUAAUCGCAGAUCAGCAACGCUGCGGUGAAUACGUUCCCGGGCCUUGUACACACCGCCCGUCAAGUCACGAAAGUUGGUAACACCCGAAGCUCACGGCCCAACC